This 467-nucleotide ribosomal RNA is filed under the name uncultured bacterium. RNAcentral's name for it is "bacterial SSU rRNA". It matches the Rfam family "Bacterial small subunit ribosomal RNA", at positions 28 to 491 of the family's 1533-position model. The record is from RNAcentral.
GAUGAACGCUAGCGGGAGGCUUAACACAUGCAAGUCGAGGGGCAGCACGGGUAGCAAUACCUGGUGGCGACCGGCGCAAGGGUGCGUAACGCGUGAGCAACAUGCCCUAUACAGGGGGAUAAUCCAGGGAAACUUGGUCUAAUAUCCCAUAGUAUUUAGAGGAGGCAUCUUCUAUAAAUUAAAGCUUCGGUGGUAUAGGAUUGGCUCGCGUGACAUUAGCUAGAUGGUGAGGUAACGGCUCACCAUGGCAAUGAUGUCUAGGGGUUCUGAGAGGAAGGCCCCCCACACUGGGACUGAGACACGGCCCAGACUCCUACGGGAGGCAGCAGUGAGGAAUAUUGGACAAUGGAUGGAAAUCUGAUCCAGCCAUGCCGCGUGCAGGAAGACAGCCCUAUGGGUUGUAAACUGCUUUUAAUGGGAGCAAUAAGGUCUACGUGUAGACUGAUGAGAGUACCAUAUGAAUAAGC